UAUAUUUUAGUGUAAGAUGCAUGAUAGUUUUUGAUACUAUAGGUUAUAGUUUGAUUCUAUAAAAUAUAA
RNAcentral lists this transfer RNA (69 nucleotides) under Ethmia eupostica. RNAcentral's name for it is "tRNA-Gln". It matches the Rfam family "tRNA". Rfam says of the family: Transfer RNA (tRNA) molecules are approximately 80 nucleotides in length. Their secondary structure includes four short double-helical elements and three loops (D, anti-codon, and T loops). Lineage: Eukaryota; Metazoa; Arthropoda; Insecta; Lepidoptera; Depressariidae. The record is from RNAcentral.